CUCGCCGCUGUGUUGCCACUCGCUGUCGUCUCGCCGGACGCCGUCCAUGUCGCCGUCGAAGAAGGCAGUCUAUGCUAGGUAUGAUAAAUGACAUGGCAGAAGCCCAGCUCCUCCUCUUUGGCGUUAUUGUCACCGCACCUCCAGCAGCGGCAAUGACAUAGUACCACUGCAUUCUUUUCCCCUUUCUCUGCUUCAAGAACCCUAGUCAUCACCUCAGGUUCUCUCUUUGCUCUGCUUUCCAGUCUAUUUUCUUUAAUUAGUUAGUUAGUUAGAAUUUGCAUGUUGUUAGUGGAUUUAAGCGGUUAAGAUAGGUUAGGAUUAGUUUAUUAGAUCCUUGUUAAGUUGCAAGUGUUGGAUUAUGGCUGUUAUGGAUUGAAUGCCGCUGAAAGUUGUUUGAUUAUGCGGAAUUUUUGCAUUGCACACCACAUGUUUAAUUGAAUGCCUAUGUGAUGCUUUGCAUUUGAUUUAUAUGUUGUAGCUACUAUAAAGAUUAAAUUGCUUUUUGUUAGGCACAUUGUUCUUGGAAGAGGCACUUUUGGCUAUAUUUUGAUGCUUGUUCAACUUACAAUUUACGGUAAUUUGGGUCUGUAGCUUCUAUCUAUUUCUUUCCAGUAGUCCACCACUUGGCAAUAACUGCUGGAUGUCCCUCAUAAUUUUUUGUUCCUGUAGUUUUGAGUUAUCAUAGAUAAAGCAUUGUCUUUGUGAUGAAAAAAGAAAAAAUUUAAUAAUUCCAUUUAUUUAUUCCUCUGAGAAACUGCUUUUAGAUGGGCUUUUUGCUUUGCUUCUAGUAUAUUUUAUGUUGGUCCUUGUGUUCAAGUUUGGAUAUGGUCUUGCAGGGAAGAUGAUAAAUGUUGGCUUUUUUCGGUCAUCCUUUUUCUGUUCAAGUCGAUACAAGCUUGCUUUGUCAAUUGGCACAUAGCAAAUAGAGAAAUCCAAGAUUUUUCUCUCUUUUGUCCGGAUCCAGAUGCUUUUUGGGAUCAUGAACCUGGUUUAUGAUAGCAAAUAGGAGGAACAUAAUGUGCAUCAACCACAACAACCACAAUGAAUGUGUUCCUUCUCUAAUGGGUUAUGGUAGACAACAACAACCACCGUAUCAAUAUAGUUACUAUCAUCAU
This is an RNA transcript of Arachis duranensis, 1115 nucleotides long. RefSeq lists it as uncharacterized. The record is from RefSeq and is a predicted model, not a curated record. The transcript is spliced from 2 exons. Lineage: Eukaryota; Viridiplantae; Streptophyta; Magnoliopsida; Fabales; Fabaceae.